RNAcentral lists this unclassified non-coding RNA (255 nucleotides) under uncultured fungus. RNAcentral's name for it is "sequence contains 18S rRNA gene, ITS1, 5.8S rRNA gene". The stretch from base 1 to 52 matches the Rfam family "Eukaryotic small subunit ribosomal RNA", at positions 1780 to 1831 of the family's 1831-position model. Lineage: Eukaryota; Fungi. The record is from RNAcentral.
AAGUAAAAGUCGUAACAAGGUUUCCGUAGGUGAACCUGCGGAAGGAUCAUUCAUAAUAAGUGUUUUUACUGCACUUUUUAAAAAUAGUACUCACCUUGUGUGCAAUGUUGUGCUAGAGAUCCUCGGAUUUCUUUGCACCUACACCAACCUAAUAACCUUGAACCACUUUGUCUGAAAAACUAUUAUGAAUACUUAAUUCAAAAUACAACUUUCAACAACGGAUCUCUUGGCUCUCGCAUCGAUGAAGAACGCAGC